UGACCCCUUCGGGGUGAUUCUGGCGGAAUGAGCGGCGGACGGGUGAGUAACACGUGGGCAACCUGCCUGUAAGACUGGGAUAACUUCGGGAAACCGGAGCUAAUACCGGAUAGUAUUUCCUUUCUCCUGAUCGGAAAUGGAAAGACGGUUUCGGCUGUCACUUACAGAUGGGCCCGCGGUGCAUUAGCUAGUUGGCGGGGUAAUGGCCCACCAAGGCGACGAUGCAUAGCCGACCUGAGAGGGUGAUCGGCCACACUGGGACUGAGACACGGCCCAGACUCCUACGGGAGGCAGCAGUAGGGAAUCUUCCGCAAUGGACGAAAGUCUGACGGAGCAACGCCGCGUGAGCGAUGAAGGCCUUCGGGUCGUAAAGCUCUGUUGUCAGGGAAGAACAAGUACAAGAGUAACUGCUUGUACCUUGACGGUACCUGACCAGAAAGCCCCGGCUAACUACGUGCCAGCAGCCGCGGUAAUACGUAGGGGGCAAGCGUUGUCCGGAAUUAUUGGGCGUAAAGGGCGCGUAGGCGGUUUCUUAAGUCUGAUGUGAAAGCCCACAGCUUAACUGUGGAGGGUCAUUGGAAACUGGGGAACUUGAGUGCAGAAGAGGAGAGUGGAAUUCCACGUGUAGCGGUGAAAUGCGUAGAUAUGUGGAGGAACACCAGUGGCGAAGGCGACUCUCUGGUCUGUAACUGACGCUGAGGCGCGAAAGCGUGGGGAGCGAACAGGAUUAGAUACCCUGGUAGUCCACGCCGUAAACGAUGAGUGCUAGGUGUUAGGGGGUUUCCGCCCCUUAGUGCUGAAGUUAACGCAUUAAGCACUCCGCCUGGGGAGUACGGCCGCAAGGCUGAAACUCAAAAGAAUUGACGGGGGCCCGCACAAGCGGUGGAGCAUGUGGUUUAAUUCGAAGCAACGCGAAGAACCUUACCAGGUCUUGACAUCCGCUGACAACCUCGGAGACAAGGCGUUCCCUUCGGGGACAGCGUGACAGGUGGUGCAUGGUUGUCGUCAGCUCGUGUCGUGAGAUGUUGGGUUAAGUCCCGCAACGAGCGCAACCCUUGAUUCUAGUUGCCAGCAUUCAGUUGGGCACUCUAGAGUGACUGCCGGUGACAAACCGGAGGAAGGUGGGGAUGACGUCAAAUCAUCAUGCCCCUUAUGACCUGGGCUACACACGUGCUACAAUGGAUGGU
RNAcentral lists this ribosomal RNA (1187 nucleotides) under Terribacillus halophilus. Its description in RNAcentral is "bacterial SSU rRNA". It matches the Rfam family "Bacterial small subunit ribosomal RNA", at positions 67 to 1238 of the family's 1533-position model. The record is from RNAcentral. Lineage: Bacteria; Bacillati; Bacillota; Bacilli; Caryophanales; Bacillaceae.